RNAcentral lists this ribosomal RNA (84 nucleotides) under Santalum album (white sandalwood). Its description in RNAcentral is "partial 5.8S ribosomal RNA". It matches the Rfam family "5.8S ribosomal RNA", at positions 73 to 154 of the family's 154-position model. From Rfam's summary of the family: 5.8S ribosomal RNA (5.8S rRNA) is a component of the large subunit of the eukaryotic ribosome. It is transcribed by RNA polymerase I as part of the 45S precursor that also contains 18S and 28S rRNA. The record is from RNAcentral. Lineage: Eukaryota; Viridiplantae; Streptophyta; Magnoliopsida; Santalales; Santalaceae.
UGCAGAAUCCCGUGAAUCAUCGAGUCUUUGAACGCAAGUUGCGCCCGAAGCCAUUAGGUUAAGGGCACGCCUGCCUGGGUGUCA